Molecule: unclassified non-coding RNA, 340 nt
Filed under: soil metagenome
Description: partial contains 5.8S ribosomal RNA, internal transcribed spacer 2, and large subunit ribosomal RNA
Rfam family: 5.8S ribosomal RNA (bases 1-120)
Source: RNAcentral
GAUGAAGAACGCAGCGAAAUGCGAUAAGUAAUGUGAAUUGCAGAAUUCCGUGAAUCAUCGAAUCUUUGAACGCACAUUGCGCCCCCUGGUAUUCCGGGGGGCAUGCCUGUCCGAGCGUCAUUGCAACCCUCAAGCGCGGCUUGUGUGUUGGGCUUCGUCCCCCCGUGGACGUGCCCGAAAGGCAGUGGCGGCGUCCCGAAUGGUGCCCGAGCGUAUGGGAACUCUCUUCCGCUCGAACCGGCCCAUUCGGCGCUGGUCGAACCCCAAUUUUUUUUUUACCGGUUGACCUCGGAUCAGGUAGGGAUACCCGCUGAACUUAAGCAUAUCAAUAAGCGGAGGA